Molecule: long non-coding RNA, 1443 nt
Filed under: Salmo salar (Atlantic salmon)
Lineage: Eukaryota; Metazoa; Chordata; Actinopteri; Salmoniformes; Salmonidae
Description: lncRNA (ENSSSAG00000122016.1)
Source: RNAcentral
CUGGAAUAUAAAUCGUUGCUCAUUAGUAAUAUUGGCUCGGUGCUUUCUGACGAACACGUUGAAGACGGACUGUUUCACGAGUUUAAAAAGUUUGGGGACGUUAGUGUGAAACUAUCCCACACCCCAGAACUAGGCCGAGUCGCCUACGUCAAUUUCAGGCACCCGGAGGACGCUAAAGAGGCCAGGCAUGCCAAAACCAGUUACUAGUAGCUGAUGAUGCAGCUGGAAUCGACCAGGCAGGCAGGCUCAGCACUGACGACCGUUGUUCUAGAUGAGAGGACCCUCCACAGCGUGGGUGAGAAGACACUGCAGACGGGGACUAAAAAGCAUUCUGGGUGAGAAGACACUGCAGACGGGGACUAAAAAGCAUUCUGGGUGAGAAGACACUGCAGACAGGGACUAAAAAGCAUUCUGGGUGAGAAGACACUGCAGACAGGGACUAAAAAGCAUUCUGGGUGAGAAGACACUGCAGACGGGGACUAAAAAGCAUUCUGGGUGAGAAGACACUGCAGACAGGGACUAAAAAGCAUUCUGGGUGAGAAGACACUGCAGACAGGGACUAAAAAGCAUUCUGGGUGAGAAGACACUGCAGACAGGGACUAAAAAUCAUUCUGGUGGCAAAAGAAGGGAAUAGGGUAGAACCAGGCGGUGACUGCUUGAGAUUCUAAUCGUUGGAUAAUCUUUAAAAUGUCUGUACUAAGAUUAGAAAAUAGACACUGGUCUGAACUAAGCCACAUUCACUAAUAAAUACUCUGUUUUUUUUUGUUCAGGAUGUCAUGACGGUUGUAUCAGAUAAUUAUAUUUCUAACUUCCUGUCGUAAUGGCAGCUGUGAUGACUAGGAACAGACUUGCCCCAUAUCAUAUAAUUACCCCCAUAACACCAUCCUCAACCCACUCUCCCUAUCUACAAAACCACCAUCCACCCCUCUCUUUCCUAUCCACCCCUUACCUGCACCUCCUGCCCUGGAUAACCCAAUAUCUUAGCCUGUGGCUAUGGCUCCAGCAAGCAGAUGGUAGCUUAUAGAGAAUCCCAGCCCCAGCCCCAACCCAACAACCAGUUUAUUAAUUACCCAUAAUGCCAUCUAGCCCAGCCACUCUGUUUGUACCAGACCUGGGUUCAAAUACUAUUUGAAAUUAAUUUAAAUACAGUAUCUGUGGUUAAAUGAGCAUUCCUGUUGUAAUGGAUCAAAUAGAACCUCCCCCAAAACCCCAAACUUCACCCACUCCAGGAAGGCUAAAGAAAAUGGGCAAAGGUCAGAGGUCUCUCUGUGUGUCCUCCUCGUGUUUCACUGCAGCCUGUAGUCAGUCAGCUGAUUGUCUUGUCAGCUCUCAGGGCCCAUCUGCUUCUCUCCUCUGGGAGAUGGGACAGGAAAUCUGGGAGGGACUGGAUUUAAGGCACCAAGGGUUUUAUUGGAUUGGAUUGUGUUUACACAUAGAGAGGUG